UACGGAGGGUGCAAGCAUUAAUCGGAUUUAUUGGGCGUAAAGGGCGCGUAGGCGGAAAGAAAGUCAGAUGUGAAAUCCUGGGGCUCAACCUCAGAACAGCAUUUGAAACUCUCUUUCUAGAGGGUAGAUGGAGAAAACGGAUCACGUGUAGCGGUGAAAUGCGUAGAUAUGUGGAAGAACACCCGUGGCGAAGGCGGUUCUCUAAUUUAUUCCUGACGCUGAGGCGCGAAAGUAA
RNAcentral lists this ribosomal RNA (235 nucleotides) under uncultured bacterium. RNAcentral's name for it is "partial 16S ribosomal RNA". It matches the Rfam family "Bacterial small subunit ribosomal RNA", at positions 524 to 762 of the family's 1533-position model. The record is from RNAcentral.